UGGUUUCAUUGCUCGUAAAUUAUGUCCAGAGUUAAUUUUUGUUCCUACGGAUUUCAAGAAGUAUACUUAUUACAGUGAUUUAACGAGAAAAGUUUUCCGGAAGUAUGAUCCUAAUUUCAUGGCUGCUAGUUUAGAUGAAGCCUACCUCGAUGUAACUGAGGUUUGUACAGAAAAGGGCACUAGUGGUGAAGAAGUUGCCAAAGAAAUCAGAAAUUGCGUAUUCGAAGAGACUGGUCUUACAUGUAGUGCUGGAAUUGCACCAAAUCGUCUACUUGCAAAGGUUUUACAGGCUAUCUGCCGAUGAAGUUGUAUUUUGUCGCUUUAAGAAAAUUCAGUGGUAAAAAGUUGGAUAUGACUUGUAUUUUGUCACUUUAAGAAAAUUCAGUGGUAAUAACUUAAUCUGGC
Long non-coding RNA from Morus notabilis, 405 nucleotides. RefSeq lists it as uncharacterized. The record is from RefSeq and is a predicted model, not a curated record. NCBI's taxonomy places the organism in Eukaryota, Viridiplantae, Streptophyta, Magnoliopsida, Rosales, Moraceae. The transcript is spliced from 3 exons.